UACGUAGGGUGCUAGCGUUGUCCGGAUUUAUUGGGCGUAAAGAGCUCGUAGGCGGUUUGUCGCGUCUGCCGUGAAAGUCCGGGGCUCAACUCCGGAUCUGCGGUGGGUACGGGCAGACUAGAGUGAUGUAGGGGAGACUGGAAUUCCUGGUGUAGCGGUGAAAUGCGCAGAUAUCAGGAGGAACACCGAUGGCGAAGGCAGGUCUCUGGGCAUUAACUGACGCUGAGGAGCGAAAGCGUGGGGAGCGAACAGG
This 253-nucleotide ribosomal RNA is filed under the name uncultured bacterium. Its description in RNAcentral is "partial 16S ribosomal RNA". It matches the Rfam family "Bacterial small subunit ribosomal RNA", at positions 524 to 776 of the family's 1533-position model. The record is from RNAcentral.